Molecule: ribosomal RNA, 637 nt
Filed under: uncultured Methanoculleus sp.
Lineage: Archaea; Methanobacteriati; Methanobacteriota; Methanomicrobia; Methanomicrobiales; Methanomicrobiaceae
Description: bacterial SSU rRNA
Rfam family: Archaeal small subunit ribosomal RNA
Source: RNAcentral
GCGCGAAAACUUUACAAUGCGGGCAACCGUGAUAAGGGAACCUCGAGUGCCUGUAUAUGCAGGCUGUCUGGGUGUCUAAAACACACCUAAAGAAAGGGCCGGGCAAGACCGGUGCCAGCCGCCGCGGUAAUACCGGCGGCUCGAGUGGUGGCCACUUUUAUUGGGCUUAAAGCGUUCGUAGCUGGGUUAUUAAGUCCCUUGGGAAAUCCGACGGCUUAACCGUCGGGCGUCUAAGGGAUACUGGCAAUCUUGGAACCGGGAGAGGUGAGGGGUACUUCGGGGGUAGGAGUGAAAUCCUGUGAUCCUCGAGGGACCACCUGUGGCGAAGGCGCCUCACCAGAACGGCUUCGACAGUGAGGGACGAAAGCUGGGGGAGCAAACCGGAUUAGAUACCCGGGUAGUCCCAGCCGUAAACGAUGUGCGUUAGGUGUAUCGGUGACCACGAGUCACCGAGGUGCCGAAGGGAAACCGUGAAACGUACCGCCUGGGAAGUACGGUCGCAAGGCUGAAACUUAAAGGAAUUGGCGGGGGAGCACCACAACAGGUGGAGCCUGCGGUUUAAUUGACUCAACGCCGGAAAUCUCACCGGAUAAGACAGCUGAAUGAUUGUCGGGCUGAAGACUCUACAUGACUAGCU